RNAcentral lists this ribosomal RNA (254 nucleotides) under uncultured bacterium. RNAcentral describes it as "partial 16S ribosomal RNA". It matches the Rfam family "Bacterial small subunit ribosomal RNA", at positions 524 to 776 of the family's 1533-position model. The record is from RNAcentral.
CACGUAGGGGGCAAGCGUUGUCCGGAAUCAUUGGGCGUAAAGAGCUCGUAGGCGGCUCAGUAAGUCGGGUGUGAAACCCUCAGGCUCAACCUGGGGACGCCACCCGAUACUGCUGUGGCUAGAGUCCAGUAGGGGAGUGUGGAAUUCCCGGUGUAGCGGUGAAAUGCGCAGAUAUCAGGAGGAACACCGGUGGCGAAGGCGGGUCUCUGGGCCGAUACUGACGCUGAGGAGCGAAAGCGUGGGGAGCGAACAGG